Molecule: ribosomal RNA, 253 nt
Filed under: uncultured bacterium
Lineage: Bacteria
Description: partial 16S ribosomal RNA
Rfam family: Bacterial small subunit ribosomal RNA
Source: RNAcentral
UACGGAGGGUGCAAGCGUUAUCCGGAAUCAUUGGGUUUAAAGGGUCCGUAGGCGGAUAAUUAAGUCAGGGGUGAAAUCCCACAGCUCAACUGUGGCAUUGCCUUUGAUACUGGUUAUCUUGAGUUAUAGGGAAGUAGAUAGAAUAUGUAGUGUAGCGGUGAAAUGCAUAGAUAUUACAUAGAAUACCGAUUGCGAAGGCAGUCUACUACCUAUUAACUGACGCUAAGGGACGAAAGCGUGGGGAGCGAACAGG